GAAAGCAUCUAAGCGCGAAGCCUGCCUCGAGAUGAGAUCUCCUUACAGGGUCGUCGUAGACGACGACGUUGAUAGGCCACAGGUGUAAAGCCGGUGACGGCAAAGCCGAGUGGUACUAAUCACCCGAAAGUUGACGUUC
Molecule: ribosomal RNA, 139 nt
Filed under: Butyricimonas sp.
Lineage: Bacteria; Pseudomonadati; Bacteroidota; Bacteroidia; Bacteroidales; Odoribacteraceae
Description: partial 23S ribosomal RNA
Rfam family: Bacterial large subunit ribosomal RNA
Source: RNAcentral